Molecule: long non-coding RNA, 384 nt
Organism: Esox lucius (northern pike)
Lineage: Eukaryota; Metazoa; Chordata; Actinopteri; Esociformes; Esocidae
Exons: 3
Source: RefSeq, a predicted model, not a curated record
CAUUGAUCAUUUGAGUGGACUACAUAUCACAGCUCCUGUCAGACGUCUACGGAUAACAAUCAUUCCCAAGUAAGAAACUGCUAAGGAUCUUACGAAGACAUGGAGGAAAUAAAACAUCUAAUGAUUCUUGUCCUGGUAGCAGCAACUUUAACCCCAACUGCCGCACCAGGCCAAAGCACAUCACAGACCACCUCACCAACCACCACACCAGGCCAAAGCCCAGCGCAGACCACCUCACCAACCACCACACCAGGCCAAAGCACAUCACAGACCACCUCACCAACCACCACACCAGGCCAAAGCCCAGCGCAGACCACCUCACCAACCACCACACCAGGCCAAAGCACAUCACAGACCACCUCACCAACCACCACACCAGGCCAA